This 644-nucleotide long non-coding RNA is filed under the name Heterocephalus glaber (naked mole-rat). RNAcentral's name for it is "lncRNA (ENSHGLG00000025893.2)". The record is from RNAcentral. Lineage: Eukaryota; Metazoa; Chordata; Mammalia; Rodentia; Bathyergidae.
UCGGACACAGACUCCAGGGAAAGAUGGGUAGAUUUUCCUGAAAGUGUAAUGAGUCAGCAAAGUGUUCUCACUCUGCUUCAGAGAAUAGCGCCAUAUGUCAAUAUUAAUGUUCUUUUAGUGCUGUCUUAUGUAAGGUGUUUUCCUAGAGCUGUCACUCGAACGUUUGUGUGGCAGGCACAAUUCAAAAUCCAGGGUCACCUAACACGAAAGCAGUCACUCCUUACCGGGGAGUAUCCAGAUGGUAACUUUUCAAUGAAUGUAUAUUACAGACAGACGCCGCACCUCAUAAAGAUCUCUUCUCCUGUAGGAUUAGCCAUUCAACAGAAGCUUGAUACAGCAGUUACUUUGCGCCCAGCACAGAGGGUCAGAGUCAACCAAACUGCAGCAAGGUCACAGGAAGGAGAUACAGAAGUGAAUGUUUUUGUUUUCAUUGACAAGAUCUGGAAAAUCCUGAUCAUAAGAGAGUACAUGACGAGGCCUGUCAUCACCUCCUCCCCAGUGGCCCCCAGUUGAUUUUCAAUGUCUGCUGCAUACAACAUGGCUGAAAAUGUCUUUUACAUUCAUCGCUGCACAUCACACAAAACUCCAGAAUAGAUUCUGGGAGAGCAGUGACUGGUGAAUGGGUGCCUGCAUUUGAGACAACG